CCUACGGGAGGCAGCAGUGGGGAAUAUUGCACAAUGGGGGAAACCCUGAUGCAGCGACGCCGCGUGGGUGAAGAAGCGCCUCGGCGCGUAAAGCCCUGUCAGCAGGGAAGAAAAUGACGGUACCUGAAGAAGAAGCCCCGGCUAACUACGUGCCAGCAGCCGCGGUAAUACGUAGGGGGCAAGCAUUAUCCGGAUUUACUGGGUGUAAAGGGGGCGCAGACGGCGAUGCAAGCCAGGAGUGAAAGCCCGGGGCCCACCCCCGGGACUGCUCUUGGAACUGCGUGGCUAGAGUGCAGGGGGGGCAGGGGGGAUGCCUGGUGUAGCGGUGAAAUGCGUAGAAAUCAGGAGGAACACCGGGGGCGAAGGCGGCCUGCUGGACUGCAACUGACGUUGAGGCCCGAAAGCGUGGGGAGCAAACAGGAUUAGAUACCCCUGUAGUC
This 440-nucleotide ribosomal RNA is filed under the name uncultured bacterium. RNAcentral's name for it is "partial 16S ribosomal RNA". It matches the Rfam family "Bacterial small subunit ribosomal RNA", at positions 338 to 795 of the family's 1533-position model. The record is from RNAcentral.